Molecule: ribosomal RNA, 253 nt
Filed under: uncultured bacterium
Lineage: Bacteria
Description: partial 16S ribosomal RNA
Rfam family: Bacterial small subunit ribosomal RNA
Source: RNAcentral
GACGGAGGGUGCUAGCGUUGUUCGGAAUGACUGGGCGUAAAGGGCGUGUAGGCUGUUGAUCAAGUCAAGCGUGAAAGCCUCGGGCUUAACCCGAGAACGGCGUUUGAUACUGGUUGACUUGAGGACGAGAGAGGAAAGUGGAAUUCCGAGUGUAGAGGUGAAAUUCGUAGAUAUUCGGAGGAACAUCAGAGGCGAAGGCGACUUUCUGGCUCGUAUCUGACGCUGAGGCGCGAAAGCGUGGGGAGCAAACAGG